CAUCCCUGGGUGGCGCUGAGGGAAUUGGCGUGAAGCUGCAGCACAAGGACGGUCUGGUUGUCAUUCGAGGCAUUCAAAAGGGUGGAGGUGCAGACAAGACUGCAGGGAGAGUGCAGGCA
Molecule: ribosomal RNA, 119 nt
Filed under: Geminigera cryophila
Lineage: Eukaryota; Cryptophyceae; Pyrenomonadales; Geminigeraceae
Description: partial 5.8S ribosomal RNA
Source: RNAcentral